Molecule: long non-coding RNA, 1380 nt
Organism: Bufo bufo (common toad)
Lineage: Eukaryota; Metazoa; Chordata; Amphibia; Anura; Bufonidae
Exons: 2
Source: RefSeq, a predicted model, not a curated record
ACCCAGCACCUCCACAAUCAGCUUUUUGAGUCUUCGACCUCCUCUGUCUACCAAGCACAGUGCUGUACUUCGAAUAACAGCUGUGCAUGGUAUUGCAGCUCUGCCCUAUUCAUUUAGAGGGGUUUUCCAAGUUAUUUGUAUGUGUCAGGCAUGUCCAGGCCAUUCAGAAGGCAUCCUCAUAGAGACUUGUCAGCUGCGAGUGUAUAUGGGCCAUAGGAACAUCAGAACUGAGGUUUGAAAAGUGGGCGGAGCUUGUUGGCGCGAGGCCUCACUUCCUGCACGUUACUGGAGGCAGAAUGGCUUAGCAUUAGCUUUUAUAACCCAAGAAACAGAAGAGGAAUUCCAGUCACAAUGAAAGCUAAGAGGGUGGGUGGUUUACUGGACUGGAACAGGUGAAAUACUUUGCCUGUAUAAACGGAAGCAGCAGCAAGAUGUAAAUGGCCAGAAGAAAGAAUGUCUGAGAGGUCAGUAAAUACUGGGAAGAGCUGCAGCAUGAGAAGAUGGAUCUGUCAGCAAAGAGAACCAAGACUGGGCAGGAGGAGGGGAAGGUAGUCUUAGCUGACACCCACAAAUAUUCAUGAGAAGAACGUCCGAGAAUGUUUCGCACUCCCAGAGCUCUGCAAUUGCAUGUAAACAAAGGGGCCAGAGCUGUGCUGGGUAGCCUUUUUGCUUUUGCUAGACCUCACUUAUCUAAUCUAGUCUAUAUAUUCCUGACCAUCGGGUUUGCGGAGUGUAUUAUUUUUUUCUGUAACUCGUACAACCCCGUUAAAUGAGACUGAGCUGUCCCUAAGCUGCAUGACCAAUGAACGUGACGUCACUGGCAUAGGAAGAGGGCACAGUAUUCACUGGAGCCUCUUCAAACAGCUAAUCAGCAAGGUGCCGGACAUCAGACCCCCACCUAUCGGAUUACCUAUUUCCCCCCAACAACUAAUUCUGAAUAUAGCGCUGUCUGAUAUGUAUAUUUUUUUUAUCUGAUGCAGUUAUAAGGUAAGGCAUGAGUUAACAGGGUUUUCCAUGACUUUUCUACUAAUGACCUAUCCUCAGUAACCUAGGUCAUCAGUAUCUCAUCGGUGGGGGUCUGAUCUGCUAUCCAGAGAAUUGGUCAUCAGUAGAAAAGUCUCAGAAAACCCCUUUUAAUUUUGCAGACAAAUACUGACUGCAAGGAAUCCAUUUUGAAAGUCUGAGAGAUAAGUGGGGCACACGUAAUAAUCCUGUUGCUGGCCUAAGCUUAGACUGGCUGUCUAGGUCUGCACCAGAUUAUCACAGGGGCUCAGGCUGGAUAAUGAAGGGUUAGACACAUUUGUCUAGCUAAAGCCACUCCUCCUGUUUGGGCUAGUCGCAGUAGAUUCCUGUAUAACUAUAUACUCAAAUUUGUUUAAA